This 482-nucleotide ribosomal RNA is filed under the name uncultured bacterium. Its description in RNAcentral is "partial 16S ribosomal RNA". It matches the Rfam family "Bacterial small subunit ribosomal RNA", at positions 28 to 507 of the family's 1533-position model. The record is from RNAcentral.
GAUGAACGCUAGCGGCAGGCCUAAUACAUGCAAGUCGAACGAGAUUAAGAAGCUUGCUUCUUAUGAAAGUGGCGCACGGGUGCGUAACGCGUAUGCAACCUACCUUAAUCAGGGGGAUAGCCCGAAGAAAUUCGGAUUAAGACCGCAUAAAAACACAGGAUAGCAUUAUCCAAUGUUCAAAUAUUUAUAGGAUUAAGAUGGGCAUGCGUGUCAUUAGCUAGUUGGCGGGGUAACGGCCCACCAAGGCGACGAUGACUAGGGGAUCUGAGAGGAUGACCCCCCACACUGGUACUGAGACACGGACCAGACUCCUACGGGAGGCAGCAGUAAGGAAUAUUGGUCAAUGGAGGGAACUCUGAACCAGCCAUGCCGCGUGCAGGAAGACAGCCCUCUGGGUCGUAAACUGCUUUUAUUCGGGAAUAAACCUUUCUACGUGUAGGAAGCUGAAUGUACCGAAGGAAUAAGGAUCGGCUAACUCCGUG